AACGAACGCUGGCGGCAUGCCUAACACAUGCAAGUCGAACGAGACCUUCGGGUCUAGUGGCGCACGGGUGCGUAACGCGUGGGAACCUGCCCUUAGGUUCGGAAUAACUCCCCGAAAGGGGUGCUAAUACCGGUUAAUGUCUUCGGCCCAAAGAUUUAUCGCCUUUGGAUGGGCCUGCGUUGGAUUAGCUAGUUGUUAGGGUAAAAGCCUACCAAGGCUCCGAUCAAUAGCUGGGCUGGGAGGAUGAUCAGCCACCCUAGGACUGCGACACGGCCCAGACUCCUACGGGAGGCAGCAGUGGGGAAUAUUGGACAAUGGGCGAAAGCCUGAUACAGCAGUGCCGCGUGAGUGAUGCAGGCCUUAGGAUUGUAAAGCGCUUUUAACCGGGAUGAUAAUGACAGUACCGGGAGAAUAAGCACCGGCUAACUCCGUG
This 433-nucleotide ribosomal RNA is filed under the name uncultured bacterium. RNAcentral's name for it is "partial 16S ribosomal RNA". It matches the Rfam family "Bacterial small subunit ribosomal RNA", at positions 29 to 507 of the family's 1533-position model. The record is from RNAcentral.